UUUUACUUGAAGGCAGGGGUGUACUAACACCUGCGGACUCAUUUUUGUAACCGAAGAGGUAAAAGUACUGAGCAAUCAUUACAAAACUGGGUAGCAAAGCACGCACGCCAUGCUUGCAAAGACUAAAUUUUUUAAAAUUAAACCUUCCAAGGCACUAGGAACUAGGGAGUACGCGCCAGGGCAUAAUAUGUUAUUUAACUGGCUCUCCACAGGACCGAGGCGAAGAGAUUCAUUCCUCAGAGGAACCGAGGCGACCAUCCUGCGAUGGUGACCGGCGCGAGGGCGAGGCGGGCAGCCGGGCCGCAGGCAGCGGGCGGUCCGGACGCUGGCCCCGAGCCCGAGGAGUUAAACUAACAAAGAGCUCAGCGCCCCCCGGAGCGGAAGCUACGCCUCCCCGGGCCCCCGCCCCGCGACCCUCCCCAAGUUCAGGGCCCGGCGGCCGACUCGCUGCGGGGCCUGCAGCCGGGCCGGGCCGGGCCGGCAAUCGGGUUGCGGGAAACAGGUAGAGAGGCAAGACUAGAAGCCCCAAAGGGAAGAGAGGGCACUUCCCGACCGGGUCAGCGCAGCGGAAAAGGAAGCAGACAUGAGGCCUGGAGAUACAACAGCUCGUUGGUGACAUGAAUGACAAGCAUGCGGAGAAAAGCCCAUAAGCUAAGAAAGGCGGAACAGAAAGACUGAAAGAGCCUUGGUCCGUGUGCCUGUUUCUUCACAGCUGUACCAGUGCUGGACUGCUCAGCUCUGGACUUCUCAUUAUCUACCUUUAUUUCCUGGGCCUCGACUCUACCAGGCGUGCCGAGGAGCGCCUGCGCGUCCCUCCCCGAGCCUCCGCUCCCUGAGGUAGGUCUGAAGGAACCCCGGCCGCCCCCGCGGGAGCCCCCA
Non-coding RNA from Microcebus murinus (gray mouse lemur), 879 nucleotides. NCBI's taxonomy places the organism in Eukaryota, Metazoa, Chordata, Mammalia, Primates, Cheirogaleidae. The record is from RefSeq and is a predicted model, not a curated record.